Homo sapiens (human) is the source of this 866-nucleotide long non-coding RNA. Ensembl annotates it as cardiac mesoderm enhancer-associated non-coding RNA. Its record names the gene CARMN. The record is from Ensembl. NCBI's taxonomy places the organism in Eukaryota, Metazoa, Chordata, Mammalia, Primates, Hominidae.
GGCCAGGGAGCCGCAGGCAAGGGACUAAGGGGAGGGGGGCUCAGUGCCAGCUGCUUAAAAAUGCCCCUGUGGCAGCGAGGGGCACCAGAGGCUGGGUCUAAUUAGUUGAGAAGCAGUGACACCCCCAACCACUCCCCAAACAGGCUGGCUCCCGUCUCCAGGCCCCAAGGAGCCACACCUGGACCAGACCCCAGGAAAGGCAAGGGCGCUAGCUGGUGGGAGCCACCCCGCCAUGCUGAUGUCAGAGAAGCAAGAACUCUGGAGAAGCAGCCUCCUGGGACCAGAGGAGGGCCAGCAGCAGGCAGCCCGGAGACAGAACUCUCACCCACGCCUCUCCAAGCCUCCCAACAGAAGACAGAGGUCCCCCACAGCCAGAGACAUUUCCUGAAGACAUGGGGAACACAGAGGCAGAAACAGCCCAUCCACCCAGGAGCUGUCCCCCACACUGCCGGGAGCCGGCACCCAGAGCCGCCAGACACAAAGGAACAGAACGAGGCACCAACAGCAAGGGGCAAGCAGAUUCAAGGGCCACAGAGGAGAUGGAGGCAAACACCUUCCCCUGGUCAGAGGCUGUGCCUCAGCCCUUCUCCCUGCAUCAGUUUCUCCUUCAGAAGCAUGGGACUACCUCCCAUCUAGUUCUCGUUUCUAAACCUAGGGGAGAUGCUAUCUUUGCUGCAAUAAUCUUAGCCUACAUCUUGGAAUGGAAAUGGCCUUGGUGGAAAUGGUCUUCAACUCCUCUGGUCCAAGCUCAGGCCCUGUGACCCUGGAACAAUCCCCUUCCUGGUCCUCCAUGUAGGAGCAAUAACAUUCCCUUGCCAGCAGCACCAGCCAUUCUGAUGAUUAAAUGGUAUCGGACUCUGUUUUCC